CUUAUUUAUAUUAAAAUAAUGAAUUGGUUACUCUUGCAACUGAAGUGGUUGGGAAUAAUAUUUCGGUUAAGAUCAAGGAGUUGUAUGAUUUAGGAGCAAGGAAAUUUGUAUUUCAGACUCUGCCCUUGGCCUCCUUCCAUAUGUUAAGCAAACGCGCAAUGAUUCCAUUAUUUCUGAAAAACUGAAUUUUGUAGCACUUUUGGAAACUGAAGAACUAGCUCUGGCGCUCAAGGAGAUUCAACAACAAAAUCCAGCAUUCAAUUUUACAAUCUUUCGGGACUUCUUUCCCAUUCUCGGGAGAGUAUUAUUACCUCCACUUUUUGGAUUCAACGAAAGUCGCGUCGCAUGCUGUGGCAAUGGCACAGUUCGUGGCCAAGGUUGUGGAGUUUUAGGUUAUGAAUACUGCGUAUGUGGUAAUAAGAGAGAAUACUUGUUUUUUGAUGGGACUCAUUAUAGUGAGGCUACUAAUAAACAACUAGUUGAAAUGAUGUGGGACAAGAAAUCAGGUUUCAUAUUCCCUUAUGGUGUUAAGGAUUUCUUUGAAAUAUCUAACUCCACAUCUCUCAAGUCUGCAACUUAAUUAUUAAGUUGUUGCUGUAUUUCUGAGGCAUCAGCAUUCCCUCAUAGUCACACUAGUAUGGCU
Manihot esculenta (cassava) is the source of this 643-nucleotide long non-coding RNA. RefSeq lists it as uncharacterized. NCBI's taxonomy places the organism in Eukaryota, Viridiplantae, Streptophyta, Magnoliopsida, Malpighiales, Euphorbiaceae. The record is from RefSeq and is a predicted model, not a curated record. The transcript has 3 exons.